GAUGAACGCUGGCGGCGUGCUUAACACAUGCAAGUCGAGCGAAGCACUCUGAUUACUUCGGUUUGAAGAGUGACUGAGCGGGCGUGGGUGUAACGGCGUCGGUAACUAGCUCACACAGGGGAUAACAGUUAGAAAUGACUGCUAAUACCGCAUAAGACCACAGCACCGCAUGGUGCAGGGGUAAAACUCCGGUGGUGUAAGAUGGACCCGCGUCUGAUUAGCUAGUUGGUGAGGUAACGGCUCACCAAGGCGACGAUCAGUAGCCGACCUGAGAGGGUGACCGGCCACAUUGGGACUGAGACGACGGCCCAG
Molecule: ribosomal RNA, 312 nt
Filed under: uncultured bacterium
Lineage: Bacteria
Description: bacterial SSU rRNA
Rfam family: Bacterial small subunit ribosomal RNA
Source: RNAcentral